This 288-nucleotide unclassified non-coding RNA is filed under the name Hevea brasiliensis (rubber tree). The record is from RNAcentral. Lineage: Eukaryota; Viridiplantae; Streptophyta; Magnoliopsida; Malpighiales; Euphorbiaceae.
GAUAGAUAUCAAUUGGAGCAUCAAUACCCUCUUCUUCCAUCUCCCUAACCAACUCUUCAGCUCGGUCCAUAUUGCAUGUUUGGCAGUUAGCAUAUAUGAUGCUGCCAUAUAUAAUAGCAUUUAAAGUCAGAUACCUCUCUUUAGCCUCCUUAAAACAUUGCUCUGCAGCUUCUAUAUUGCCCAGUUUUGCAAAUCCAUCAACAAGGAUGCUGUGAGUCACGAGACUCAUUUCAAUUCCUUCAUCUUUCAUUCUCCUCACACAAGAUAGUGCUUCUUCCAUGUCUCUAG